UUUCAGAGGGGGAUAACAUUUGGAAACAGAUGCUAAUACCGCAUAAGAUUACAGUACCGCAUGAUACAGUGAUCAAAGGAGCAAUCCGCUGAAAGAUGGGCUCGCGUCCGAUUAGAUAGUUGGUGAGGUAACGGCUCACCAAGUCGACGAUCGGUAGCCGGACUGAGAGGUUGAACGGCCACAUUGGGACUGAGACACGGCCCAGACUCCUACGGGAGGCAGCAGUGGGGAAUAUUGCACAAUGGGCGAAAGCUUGAUGCAGCAACGCCGCGUGAGGGAAGACGGUUUUCGGAUUGUAAACCU
RNAcentral lists this ribosomal RNA (303 nucleotides) under uncultured bacterium. Its description in RNAcentral is "bacterial SSU rRNA". It matches the Rfam family "Bacterial small subunit ribosomal RNA", at positions 131 to 432 of the family's 1533-position model. The record is from RNAcentral.